Long non-coding RNA from Mus musculus (house mouse), 3156 nucleotides. RefSeq annotates it as predicted gene, 38410. The transcript is spliced from 3 exons. Lineage: Eukaryota; Metazoa; Chordata; Mammalia; Rodentia; Muridae. The record is from RefSeq and is marked validated.
AGCAAGGAUUCUGUUUGCCUUCAGAACAAGAUGUAGAAGUCAGCUUCUCCUACACCAUGCCUGCCUGGACACUACUGCGCUCCUGCCUUAACAAUGGACUGAACCUCUGAACCUCCUGUGUCAAGAUAACCAACCAGGAGGGACUGCCACUCUACAGAAAGCCACUCAAGCUAACAAAUGAAGAAGCAAAAAGCGAAGCCACCAUUUUGAGACUCUCACUGGGCUAAAGGAUCUGAGUAGCAGUAAUUAAGGGUUGCUAACCAUUAAGUAAAAGUCGAUGGAAGAUACUAGAAUGGGUUGAUUGGCAUAAACCUCCCAAGGGACAGUGUUAGCACCAAUAAAAGAAUUCACGAGUUACCCAGGAUGGAAGGACAGCUUGACAACUAAGGAAUCCUGGGAAGCAAGAAUCCAAAUUUGAAGAAGUAGAAGCUUUUUGCUGAACAAUCAAGUCCAUUUCUUUACCUACCAAAGACGAUGGGAGGUCCAAGCAAUGGCUGAGGGGUUAAGAACAUUCGCUGCACAUUGUGAAGACCAGUUUGGACAUGGUACCUAUGUCAACAGCAGGGUGUGAGCCCACACAUGUCUUUAUUCUCAACACUGAGAACUGAGAGGAGAGAGGAUCUGUGGGGCUUCCUGGUGGUCAGCCUAGACAAACUCUCUCUCUCUCUCUCUCUCUCUCUCUCUCUCUCUCUCUCUCACACACACACACACACACACACACACACACACACACACACACACACACACAAAGCUCUUGCCUCAAAGAACAAGACUCAGAGGGAAAAAGAAGCACCCAGUCCCCGGCUCCCCCACCCCCACCCCGCUCUCUGCAGGUGCACAAGCUGCUCAUUCCCGCACAUUUAUGCACAUAUGCCACAGACAGCCAUGCCCGGCUCACACAUGUAUACACACACACAGGAGAGGGGAGCCAGGUGUAGUGGUGCAUAAGCUCCGUUCUCAGGAGGCUGAGGCAGAAGUUUCGGGAGUUUCAGGCCAGCCUCGGCUCUAUAGUGAGUUCUAGGCAGCAGCAUCUACGUGAGAGCUUGCCUCUAAUAACUCAGAACAACAACAGCAAGAAGAAUGGCAGAAACUGCUCCUUCAAAGGAGAAACAGAACAUAUUAGCUACUUAUAUGGCAUGGCUCUGCCUGCACUUGGCUUUGAGCCAUUGCAAAAACACAUUUGAGAAAUCAGAUAAAAAUGAAGACACCCCAAGUGUUAGAUACUAUUAAGAAGAAUUUUUGUUGUUGUUGAGCAUGAUGGUUUGGGGGUUAUACUAUUCCAUUACUGUGUUUAGUUGUGCAUUGGAUUCUCUGAAUGUAAAAUUGCACAAUAACUGGAAUUUGCUUUAAAAGACCUACCAAAAAAUAUAAGGGAACAAUAACUGAGAAAAUGUUGGAGGGUGGGGUUUUAAGGCUGGGGGACACUUGGGACAGUAAAGUGCUUUCUUGUAAGCAUGAAUACCAGAGUUCCAUCCCUAGAGCUCACACGAAUAGGGUAUCAUAGUGUGCUUGUACUCCAACACUGGGGAGGCAGAGACAGGUCCCUGGGGUGCAUUGGUCAGUCAGACUACCUCCUGGGAGAAUGCCAAGCCAGUGAGAGACCCUGCCUGAAAAAUAAAAAAGGUGGCUGGCUCCUGAAGUUGUCCUCUGGCCUACACACACACACACACACACACACACACACACACACACACACAUAUACACACACAGAAAUAUGCACCUGAGCAUACACACACAGCUACAUGCAUACUGAGCCACACCCACAUAACCAGAAACACAAAUAUGGGCACAUACACAGGUACAUACACACAUGGACAUGCACACACAGCCAUAUGUACACCCACACAGCCAUAAACAUACAUAUUGGCAUACACACAUGAUACAAGCACACAUGGGCAUACACAUGCACACAUACAUACAUAACACGCACGCACACACACACACACACACACACACACACACGGGUUGCACACAUACAUACACACACAUACACAUGCACAUCCGUGGGGUGUACACCCGUGUGCACACACACGCUGGAGCUUGUGGAAGCUGUUAUGGCCUCUGGUGGUUUUACAGCCAGGCAGCUUUCCACCCGUCUGGGAGAGAGGCUUUACUUUGGUUGCUUUCUGUUGCCAGUUGAGCACAGUCCAGUUUAAUAACAAGUUGGUCAUGGAGGAUGUAAGUCCAAAUAUCUGAUUGAAUUCAGCAGACAUAAAAUUAUACACACUAGGAAAUGAACCCAGGGCUUUAUGAACGCUAAGUGAGAGUUGUCCUGCUGCGCUCCAUCCCAGCCUCUUACUACUUCUUAUUUUGAGAUAGGGUCCCACUGAGUUGCCUAAGCAGCCUUGAAUUUACUCUGUAACUCAGUCAGGCCUUGAGCUUGUGAUCCUAUCUCUCUGCCUCUCAUGUGGCUGGAAUCUCAAGCCUCUACCACCAGGCCUGGGUAGGCAAGCAUAUUUUAAUGAAUAGAAUCGGAACAAACAUAUCAUAGAGAAGAGCAAAAGAAUUUUUCAAAUCACAUAAUUUUUGUUGACUGGAAUGAAUGUGAGAUGCUACUCUGUCAUCCCACAACCACAGGGCAGGCAAGUCCCAUAUUAAAUGUCUGUGCACGGCCUCAACCACAACCAUUCCUAUCAAUAUUUAAGAUUUCCAGUGUGGCAGAUAAGCUUCUUCUUACCAGUCAUCUGAUUCAGUUAGAGCAGUGACUGCUGGCAGUAGAGCCAGUGCACUGGACAGCCCUGCUUCCAGACUCUCUUAGGCAGAGACCAGCCUCACAGAGAUGUGUCAGGGGGGAGGGUGAAAGAGACUUCUGAGUCCUUACAUAACAUUCGGAAUAUUCAGUUUUAACAUCUCACCAACCCAAAAUAACACUUUCUACUUCAAAAUUCAUCUUCGGUUUUUGAUUGAUGAUCUCUAGUUCCAAGUGUAGUCUAUAAAUUGCAUCUAAAUUAUUUAUAUAUUUUGAUGAAGGAAACAUAUUUUAAAGCCAUAGAUUUCUUGUGCAUACAUUACCUUUUCCUUAUAUAUUGGGAUAGGGUCUCACUAUAUAGCUCUAGAUGGCCUGGAAUUGCUAUGUAGACAUGCUGGUUUUGAACUCACAGAUCUCUGCCUUUCUCUAGCUCCUGAGUACUGAGAUUAAAGGCAUGUGUCACCGUG